GCCGUCCAGCCGGCCUCGGUCGCCUCGUCCACCUGAAUCAGGCGGCCACCUUCCGAGGCGCGAUAGCGGGUCUCUUGAACGCGCCCAUGCGCCGUGUCGAGCUCGAUCUUGGGUAGGUCGAGCUCCCAGCCCAUCGCGAGGCCGCCGCGCACAGGGUUCUUGGACGAAUAGCUCAGUGAGAGCUGCGGUAUGUGACCAUUGCGGUUCGGCGCAGUAGGAAUCGGAAUGCUGAUCGAGGCCGCGCCUGUGG
RNAcentral lists this ribosomal RNA (250 nucleotides) under uncultured archaeon. RNAcentral's name for it is "partial 16S ribosomal RNA". The record is from RNAcentral.